UACGUAGGGCGCAAGCGUUGUCCGGAAUUAUUGGGCGUAAAGAGCUCGUAGGCGGCCUGUCGCGUCUGCUGUGAAAUCCCGGGGCUUAACCCCGGGCGUGCAGUGGAUACGGGCUGGCUGGAGGCAGGCAGGGGAGAACGGAAUUCCCGGUGUAGCGGUGAAAUGCGCAGAUAUCGGGAGGAACACCAGUAGCGAAGGCGGCACUCUGGGCCGUGACUGACGCUGAGGAGCGAAAGCGUGGGUAGCAAACAGG
RNAcentral lists this ribosomal RNA (253 nucleotides) under uncultured bacterium. Its description in RNAcentral is "partial 16S ribosomal RNA". It matches the Rfam family "Bacterial small subunit ribosomal RNA", at positions 524 to 776 of the family's 1533-position model. The record is from RNAcentral.